Molecule: transfer RNA, 76 nt
Filed under: Clostridia bacterium
Lineage: Bacteria; Bacillati; Bacillota; Clostridia
Description: tRNA-Ala
Rfam family: tRNA
About the family: Transfer RNA (tRNA) molecules are approximately 80 nucleotides in length. Their secondary structure includes four short double-helical elements and three loops (D, anti-codon, and T loops).
Source: RNAcentral
GGGGCAUUAGCACAGAUGGUAGCGCGCGACAUUCGCAUUGUCGAGGUCAGGGGUUCGAAUCCCCUAUGCUCCACCA